Molecule: ribosomal RNA, 497 nt
Filed under: uncultured bacterium
Lineage: Bacteria
Description: partial 16S ribosomal RNA
Rfam family: Bacterial small subunit ribosomal RNA
Source: RNAcentral
GAUGAACGCUGGCGGCGUGCCUAAUACAUGCAAGUCGAGCGAACGGACGAGAAGCUUGCUUCUCUGAUGUUAGCGGCGGACGGGUGAGUAACACGUGGAUAACCUACCUAUAAGACUGGGAUAACUUCGGGAAACCGGAGCUAAUACCGGAUAAUAUUUUGAACCGCAUGGUUCAAAAGUGAAAGACGGUCUUGCUGUCACUUAUAGAUGGAUCCGCGCUGCAUUAGCUAGUUGGUAAGGUAACGGCUUACCAAGGCAACGAUGCAUAGCCGACCUGAGAGGGUGAUCGGCCACACUGGAACUGAGACACGGUCCAGACUCCUACGGGAGGCAGCAGUAGGGAAUCUUCCGCAAUGGGCGAAAGCCUGACGGAGCAACGCCGCGUGAGUGAUGGAGGUCUUCGGAUCGUAAAACUCUGUCAUUAGGGAAGAACAUAUGUGUAAGUAACUGUGCACAUCUUGACGGUACCUAAUCAGAAAGCCACGGCUAACUACGUG